ACGUAGGAGGCGAGCGUUAUCCGGAUUUACUGGGCGUAAAGCGCACGCGGGCGGCUUCGUGAGUCGGACGUGAAAGCUCCUGGCUUAACCGGGAGAGGACGUGCGAGACUGUCGGACUAGAGGCAGGUAGAGGCAAGUGGAAUUCCGGGUGUAGUGGUGAAAUGCGUAGAGAUCCGGAGGAACCCCGGUGGCGAAGGCGACGCGCUGGGCCUGGCCUGACGCUAAGACGCGAAAGCAUGGGGAGCGAACGG
Molecule: ribosomal RNA, 251 nt
Filed under: uncultured prokaryote
Description: partial 16S ribosomal RNA
Rfam family: Bacterial small subunit ribosomal RNA
Source: RNAcentral